This is a long non-coding RNA of Cololabis saira (Pacific saury), 261 nucleotides long. RefSeq lists it as uncharacterized. The transcript has 3 exons. The record is from RefSeq and is a predicted model, not a curated record. NCBI's taxonomy places the organism in Eukaryota, Metazoa, Chordata, Actinopteri, Beloniformes, Belonidae.
AUCUACUCAGGCCUGCACAUAUAUAUGCAGUGUUUCACCACAAGAGAGAUAUUUCCAAUAACCUGUGACACGCUUUUGGUCAAUAACCAAAUACUUUCAUCCAUUUUCACGCAACAAAAAAGGAUGAAGUGUACUGGAAUAUUUCUUGUGUUGUCCAUGGUUGUCCUGAUGGCUGAACCUGGGGAAGGUUUUAUUGGAGCUAUUUUUCGUGCAAUACCUCAUAUCGUCCAUGGGGUCCGCAAGCUCGUCCGUAGGAGGGGA